CCCGGAGGAAAGGACAUCAAACGAGACUCCGCAAGUAGUGGCGAGCGAACGCGGACCAGGCCAGUGGCUUUUGUGAGACAAGUGGAACACCUUGGAAAGGGUGACCGAAGUGGGUGAUAGUCCCGUACACGUAAUGCGAACAAAAGUCCUUGAGUAGGGCGGGACACGUGAAAUCCUGUCUGAACAUGGGGAGACCACUCUCCAAGCCUAAGUACUCGUGCAUGACCGAUAGCGAACCAGUACCGUGAGGGAAAGGUGAAAAGCACCCCGACAAGGGGAGUGAAAGAGAUCCUGAAACCGAAUGCCUACAAACAGUUGGAGCCCAAGAUUUGUUCUGGGUGACAGCGUACCUUUUGUAUAAUGGGUCAGCGACUUAGUCUGACGAGCAAGCUUAAACCGGUAGGUGUAGGCGUAGCGAAAGCGAGUCUGAACAGGGCGUUCAGUUCGUUGGAUUAGACCCGAAACCAAGUGAUCUAGCCAUGAGCAGGUUGAAGGUAAGGUAACACUUACUGGAGGACCGAACCCGCAUCUGUUGCAAUAGAUUGGGAUGACUUGUGGCUAGGGGUGAAAGGCCAWUCAAACUUGGAGAUAGCUGGUUCUCCGCGAAAUCUAUUUAGGUAGAGCGUCGAUCGAAUACCCUCGGGGGGUAGAGCACUGGAUGGGCUAGGGGAUCUCACCGAUUUACCAAACCUAACCAAACUCCGAAUACCGAGGAGUACUAAUCGGCAGACACACGGCGGGUGCUAACGUCCGUCGUGAAGAGGGCAACAACCCUGACCACCAUCUAAGGUCCCUAAGUUAUGGCUAAGUGGGAAAGGAUGUGAGGAUCCCAAAACAACCAGGAUGUUGGCUUAGAAGCAGCCAUCAUUUAAAGAAAGCGUAACAGCUCACUGGUCUAAAUAAGGGUCUUUGCGCCGAAAAUGUACCGGGGCUAAAGCCAUACACCGAAGCUGUGGAUUUGCUUAGCAAUAAGCAAGUGGUAGCGGAGCGUUCUGUAAGCCGUUGAAGAGGGACCCGUGAGGGCCUUUGGAGGUAUCAGAAGUGAGAAUGCUGACAUGAGUAACGAUAAAGGGAGUGAGAGACUCCCUCGCCGAAAGUCCAAGGGUUCCUGCUUAAAGUUAAUCUGAGCAGGGUUAGCCGGCCCCUAAGGCGAGGCCGAAAGGCGUAGUCGAUGGGAACCACGUUAAUAUUCGUGGGCCUGCGGGUAGUGACGGAUCGCGUAUGUUGUUCUUCCUUAUUGGAUUGGAAGGGCUUCGAAGCGGUUCCAGGAAAUAGCUCCCGCGUAUAGACCGUACCCUAAACCGACACUGGUGGACUGGUAGAGAAUACCAAGGCGCUUGAGAGAACUGCGUUGAAGGAACUCGGCAAAUUGCACGCGUAACUUCGGAAGAAGCGUGACCCUUUUCUACGCAAGUAGAGGAGGGUGGCACAGACCAGGGGGUAGCGACUGUUUACCAAAAACACAGGGCUCUGCGAAGUCGCAAGACGACGUAUAGGGUCUGACGCCUGCCCGGUGCUGGAAGGUUAAGAGGAGAGGUGCAAGCUUUGAAUCGAAGCCCCAGUAAACGGCGGCCGUAACUAUAACGGUCCUAAGGUAGCGAAAUUCCUUGUCGGGUAAGUUCCGACCUGCACGAAUGGCGUAACGACUUCCCCGCUGUCUCCAACGCAGACUCAGUGAAAUUGAAUUCCCCGUGAAGAUGCGGGGUUCCUGCGGUUAGACGGAAAGACCCCGUGCACCUUUACUAUAGCUUUACACUGGCAUUCGUGUCGGCAUGUGUAGGAUAGGUGGUAGACUUUGAAGCCGUGGCGCCAGCCAUGGUGGAGUCAUCCUUGAAAUACCACCCUUACCUAUAUGGAUGUCUAACCGCGGUCCGUUAUCCGAUCCGGGAC
Molecule: ribosomal RNA, 1890 nt
Filed under: Phyllobacterium meliloti
Lineage: Bacteria; Pseudomonadati; Pseudomonadota; Alphaproteobacteria; Hyphomicrobiales; Phyllobacteriaceae
Description: bacterial LSU rRNA
Rfam family: Bacterial large subunit ribosomal RNA
Source: RNAcentral